RNAcentral lists this ribosomal RNA (443 nucleotides) under Caloria elegans. Its description in RNAcentral is "partial 16S ribosomal RNA". It matches the Rfam family "Archaeal large subunit ribosomal RNA", at positions 1902 to 2665 of the family's 2987-position model. Lineage: Eukaryota; Metazoa; Mollusca; Gastropoda; Nudibranchia; Facelinidae. The record is from RNAcentral.
AAAACAUAGCUAGAAGUAGAUAUUUUUAGUUUAACCUGCCCAAUGUGAAAAUCAAUGGCCGCGGUACUCUGACCGUGCUAAGGUAGCGUAAUCAUUUGACUUUUAAAUGGAGUCAGGUAUGAAUGGGAUUAACCUGGUUUAGCUGUCUCCAAAUUAAUCUUUUGAAGUUACUGUUUAAGUGAAAAAGCUUAAAUUUGAUUGAAGAGGGACGAGAAGACCCUUAGAAUUUUUUCUAAUGAAGUUUUACUUUAAUGAUUUUGUUGGGGCGACAUAGAAAUAAUUAAAACUUUCUGCAAAAUACAAACCGAUAAUGUUAAAAUGGAAUAAAUUACCUAAGGGAUAACAGCAUAAUUUUACAGUUAAGUUUGUGACCUCGAUGUUGGACUAGGAAACUGGUAUGGCUAGAAGCCUGCUUUGUGGGUUCUGUUCGAACUAUAAUUCCU